RNAcentral lists this ribosomal RNA (147 nucleotides) under uncultured eukaryote. Its description in RNAcentral is "partial small subunit ribosomal RNA". It matches the Rfam family "Eukaryotic small subunit ribosomal RNA", at positions 1297 to 1461 of the family's 1831-position model. The record is from RNAcentral.
GUUGGUGGAGUGAUUUGUCUGGUUAAUUCCGUUAACGAACGAGACCUUCGCCUGCUAAAUAGGUACGCGCAGCCUUCGUGCUGGGCGGGCACCUUCUUAGAGGGACACUCUGUGUUUAACAGAGGGAAGUUGGAGGCAAUAACAGGU